This is a long non-coding RNA of Orbicella faveolata, 190 nucleotides long. The record is from RefSeq and is a predicted model, not a curated record. Lineage: Eukaryota; Metazoa; Cnidaria; Anthozoa; Scleractinia; Merulinidae.
UGACAUGCCUUCAGUUUUUUUUUUUAUUCAGAUCAACUUCUAGCCAGCAAGGCCCUUUACGAUCGCUAUCAACAUGCGUUUGCUGAAGGUCUUCCUUCUGUUUGGUUUUCUCUUGUGUUUGAUGGAACCGUGCCUGGUGGAAGCAAUACAUGGCGUCUUUGGUGAAGGAUUACGCCGUGAUAUCAGGUUU